CACCUCUGAAAAGUAACAAAAAAGAAUACUGUGAGUAGGCUAAAUAUAUCUAGCUGAACUGCAAGAGGCACCUAGGGACGGUGCUAUAUGGCAUGGUGGGUGCAUAUUAAAAUGUGUUUCGGGACAUUAAUGAUAUGGUAAGAUAUUGUAAGAAGUUGCACAUAAAUGGUAUGUCAUCCUCGUGCCUGGUGCAGAGGAGUCAGUACUAUUUAAAGUGACACAACUGCAAGAGGCACCAAGGGACAAUGCUAAUUGACAUGCUAAAGUGCACAAAUUACAAAAAAGAUAAAAUAUUACCAGUUUAAUAAAAAAAAUAAUAAUAUCGCAAACAAGAAGAUAAUAGAACUUGUACGAUGUGUCCUGUACCCCACCAUGCCAACCUUGUGCCUAGUGCAGAAAGCGUGAUUAAAUAUUUAUCUUUAAAGUUAUAUUUUAUCUUCAUCAAUUAACUCACAGACAGAUAUCAAAAUAUCAAGAUUCUCUACAUUAAGAAGCCAUAUCAGUUUUUGACUAGGAAUCAAAUGCUUAAAGUUUGGGCAUAGUAAGUUAAUAGUGGAAUUCAAAUAAUUU
RNAcentral lists this long non-coding RNA (570 nucleotides) under Mytilus galloprovincialis (Mediterranean mussel). Lineage: Eukaryota; Metazoa; Mollusca; Bivalvia; Mytilida; Mytilidae. The record is from RNAcentral.